This is a long non-coding RNA of Myotis davidii, 717 nucleotides long. RefSeq lists it as uncharacterized. Lineage: Eukaryota; Metazoa; Chordata; Mammalia; Chiroptera; Vespertilionidae. The transcript has 2 exons. The record is from RefSeq and is a predicted model, not a curated record.
AGCAACACCUGCAACCACUAGGGAUUAUGGGUGGAACGGAAGGACUAAGGAGAGCUGAACUGGGAUCCCCCGCCAACCGGAAUCCAAGGCGCAGCGCAACCGCCGGGCUUUUUCGAGGACUGUUCGACGGUUUCCGAAGAGUUUGAAGUUUACUCUGUGCUCAGAGGAGGGGAAAACACAACGAUUGCCGGGUUUGUUGCGUGAUUUCAUUUGUAACAUACCCACCACCAGCACUUUUCGUGCCCCAAUUUGGUGUAAAAUACGCCCAGUAGAUUACAGCUUUUCUAAGAGCUUGGGGAUUCCAGAGCUGCAAACAACCACUGUUCCAUAAGCCUGUUGUCUUUUGACGUUUCCAGGCAGACAUCAACAUUGACAUUGUAAUUCAAUAGAAGCUGUGACUACAAAGGUGCUUUAUCCUUCUAGGUUAGUAUGGUUGCUACGGAAACAAUUCAGGAUGAAGCUGACUUUAUUUGUGGUUCUGCUUCACUUGGUUGGAAACAACGCCAACUAGCAAAGGUGCAAUUCAUUUAUAAUCACUGCUCCCAAAGUGUGUUGGUGAAAAUUUUUUAUAGAGAUCUAGCCCAUACUUAGAAAUUGUGGAACUGAAGAGGGAUGUGAAAAGCUUACCAUAUUUUAUUCCAUCUUACUUUGCGAGAGCUCAUACAACUUUUAAUCGUUAUGGAUCAGAUGUUUUCUAAAAAUUGCAUUGUGAAACAA